Molecule: ribosomal RNA, 519 nt
Filed under: uncultured bacterium
Lineage: Bacteria
Description: bacterial SSU rRNA
Rfam family: Bacterial small subunit ribosomal RNA
Source: RNAcentral
AUGGGGGGAACCCUGAUCCAGCCAUGCCGCGUGUGUGAAGAAGGCCUUAUGGUUGUAAAGCACUUUAAGCGAGGAGGAGGCUACUUUAGUUAAUACCUAGAGAUAGUGGACGUUACUCGCAGAAUAAGCACCGGCUAACUCUGUGCCAGCAGCCGCGGUAAUACAGAGGGUGCGAGCGUUAAUCGGAUUUACUGGGCGUAAAGCGUGCGUAGGCGGCUUAUUAAGUCGGAUGUGAAAUCCCCGAGCUUAACUUGGGAAUUGCAUUCGAUACUGGUGAGCUAGAGUAUGGGAGAGGAUGGUAGAAUUCCAGGUGUAGCGGUGAAAUGCGUAGAGAUCUGGAGGAAUACCGAUGGCGAAGGCAGCCAUCUGGCCUAAUACUGACGCUGAGGUACGAAAGCAUGGGGAGCAAACAGGAUUAGAUACCCUGGUAGUCCAUGCCGUAAACGAUGUCUACUAGCCGUUGGGGCCUUUGAGGCUUUAGUGGCGCAGCUAACGCGAUAAGUAGACCGCCUGGGGAGU